This 2217-nucleotide ribosomal RNA is filed under the name Triticum aestivum (bread wheat). RNAcentral describes it as "partial small subunit ribosomal RNA". Lineage: Eukaryota; Viridiplantae; Streptophyta; Magnoliopsida; Poales; Poaceae. The record is from RNAcentral.
AUGCAGACGCGCUGCUCAAUAGAGAUUGAAGAACCCUGCCCCAUGGCCAUGACGCCGCAGCCGCCGCCGCCGCCGCCGCCGCCGCCGCCAUGGGUGAUCCAGUUCAACCGCACGAGCAAACCCGUCCUCGUCGCGCCCUUCGACGGAUGCGUCCGCUGGGACGAGACGCCGGACAUGCCGGCGCUGCAAGGGAAACGAUGCGUCGGCCGGGACGGAGACUGGUCGCUCAUGCUCGACGAGGUCACCAACGGGUGCUCCCUCGUCAACUUCGCUAAUACCUCGCCGUCGACCCCCACGGUAGUCGCUCUCCCGCCUCUGCCGGAGGACGCGCCCGAUUUAUUCUUAUGGUUCGGCUGCGCUCUCUCCACGCAAACCCCGCCCGAUUGCACCGUUUUUUUGGAUUUCGUCAGGGACAAGUCCCUUCUCUACUGCCGCCCUGGUGAUCCCGAGUGGUCCCGCCUCCCUGUGGAGCUCGCCGAGGUGAACGACAAGUUCGACGGCCCCAUAACCGCCGGCUACCAGGGGAAGGUGUACGCGACAACCAUGGCGUCCCUGGUGGCCAUUGACGCAUCCGCCCCAACACCAUCAGUCAUAAGGACGGACAUGGGACCCCCGCCGCGGUGCCCCAUGCACGCCGGGUACAAGUGCUACCCGGUGCCGUGUCCUGGCGGCGAGCUCUUUUUGGUGCGGUGCUGCAUCUUUGGCGACCCGGACGUGGUGGAUCUGAAGGUUUUCCUAUGGAAUCAGGAGGAUAAUGUGUGGGGAACUGUCGAAAGCAUCGGGGAUAGAACAUUUUUUGUGGGCAGGUGUACUUUCGCCGUCGGGGCGGUUGAAGCAGGAACCCAACCCAACUGCAUCCAUGUGCUGCGUAAAGUUUGCGAUGAAUUUGUUAUCUACACCGUGUCUCUGGAUGAUAUGACCUUUGGGCUCCGUAUAGUUGAGGGAUGUGAUGGUGAUGAAGAUGAUGAUGAGGACCAAGUAUUCUGGACUCUUCCCACGAGCUUCGGUUUGAAAGAUGUACAAGCCAUCGAUACUAUUCAUGAUGUCUCCGAUAAGGUGAUACAAAGAAGAAUUGAACAUUGUUUGGGAGAGCAAGAAAAGGAGGACAUGAUGAUGCUUAACGCGGCCUCUCCAGAGGAGAGGCAGUGGUGUGACCUCCAUACCGACUUGUCGCGGCUACUAGUAUCCAAGAUUUCAUUCAUCGAUUUCCUACAUCUGAAAGCUGUCUGCAAGCGGUGGAACUCCAUUGAAAGCCCGAUACAACAUGCAAAAGGGUUGCCAUUGCUCAUGACACCCCGCGUAGCAGGAAGGACAAAAGAUGAUCUUCUCGAGGUCUUUGAUCCGAUGAGCGAGAAGAAGUACAACAUCAGGGUAAACAUCCCUACUUCAUGUCUCCAAUCACAGGGUUCGCAGUUACUGCAUUUCACAAAGAAUGGUUGGGUCAUCGUGUCAAGAGGCGGUGACCAAAUGUACUUCCUAGUGAAUCCGUUCAAGAAUUACCCGGAUGGCAGCCAUGUGAUUGCUCUUCCACUACUAGAUAUCCUUGGCCUCAAAGGAUUAUCGUUCUCUUCCAUGCCGGGUUCUCCGGACUUUGUGGUCCUCGCCGUGGGAGCCACGCCAGACAACGAAGUUGUCUUUAUUCAAACAUGGCGAAUAGGAGACAAAGAGUGGAAGGAAGAAAUCUUACGAAAUGUUGAUGUGCCGUUCUUCAUGGCAACUCAUAGCCCCGUCUUCCUUGACGACAUCGUUUAUUUCCUAGACAUGAAUGGCAGGCUCGGAGUCGUGGACUUGAACGUGGAAAAGGUGGAGUGGAAGGUCCUUGACAAGCCAGAUCAACCGAUACGUGGAAGUGACUAUGUGUAUACAAUUCGGAAGUUGAACUAUAGCUAUCUAGCGGAGUGGAAAGGCGACCUAGUCGCCAUUAUCCGAGAAAACGGGAAUUUUGGGUUCAUCAGAAUACUUAAGCUUGAUCGGUCUAGGAUGGUUUGGACGGAUUUGGAAGAGAUGGAGGAUGCUGCCGUGUUUUGGGACAGAAGCAAUGCUCUAAUUGCGAGGCCAGCUUGCGGAAGGGAUUUAUGCAACAAGGUGUACUUUCCAAGCUGUACUAAGACUGACGAUGGUGGGCAGGCCUACUACUGCUUAAAAGAGCAAGAAUACUACCCUUUCUUUUGUGACAAGGAGCCAAUGAAUGCCAUAUGGUUCCAGCCAAACUUUUAG